Molecule: ribosomal RNA, 891 nt
Filed under: Colletotrichum vietnamense
Lineage: Eukaryota; Fungi; Ascomycota; Sordariomycetes; Glomerellales; Glomerellaceae
Description: LSU rRNA
Rfam family: Eukaryotic large subunit ribosomal RNA
Source: RNAcentral
GCAUAUCAAUAAGCGGAGGAAAAGAAACCAACAGGGAUUGCCCCAGUAACGGCGAGUGAAGCGGCAACAGCUCAAAUUUGAAAUCUGGCCCCAGGCCCGAGUUGUAAUUUGCAGAGGAUGCUUUUGGCGCGGUGCCUUCUAAGUUCCCUGGAACGGGACGCCAUAGAGGGUGAGAGACCCGUACGGUUGGACACCAAGCCUUUGUAAAGCUCCUUCGACGAGUCGAGUAGUUUGGGAAUGCUGCUCUAAAUGGGAGGUAUAUUUCUUCUAAAGCUAAAUACCGGCCAGAGACCGAUAGCGCACAAGUAGAGUGAUCGAAAGAUGAAAAGCACUUUGAAAAGAGGGUUAAACAGCACGUGAAAUUGUUAAAAGGGAAGCGCUUGUGACCAGACUUGCGCCCGGUGAAUCACCCAGCUCUCGCGGCUGGGGCACUUUGCCGGCUCAGGCCAGCAUCAGCUUGCCGUCGGGGACAAAAGCUUCGGGAACGUAGCUCUCUUCGGGGAGUGUUAUAGCCUGUUGCAUAAUACCCUUCGGCGGGCUGAGGUACGCGCUCCGCAAGGAUGCUGGCAUAAUGGUCAUCAGCGACCCGUCUUGAAACACGGACCAAGGAGUCAACCUUAUGUGCGAGUGUUUGGGUGUUAAACCCCUACGCGUAAUGAAAGUGAACGCAGGUGAGAGCUUCGGCGCAUCAUCGACCGAUCCUGAUGUUCUCGGAUGGAUUUGAGUAAGAGCAUAUAGGGUUGGACCCGAAAGAAGGUGAACUAUGCGUGUAUAGGGUGAAGCCAGAGGAAACUCUGGUGGAGGCUCGCAGCGGUUCUGACGUGCAAAUCGAUCGUCAAAUAUGCGCAUGGGGGCGAAAGACUAAUCGAACCUUCUAGUAGCUGGUUCCCC